RNAcentral lists this unclassified non-coding RNA (94 nucleotides) under Vibrio cincinnatiensis DSM 19608. Lineage: Bacteria; Pseudomonadati; Pseudomonadota; Gammaproteobacteria; Vibrionales; Vibrionaceae. The record is from RNAcentral.
GAAGGCAGGCCCUUCAAAGUCUACUGUCGGAAGUCGGCUUUAAACCACCUGCAAGUGGCUGUUAUUAAGAGUAACGGUCAGAAGCGUUGUAGGG